RNAcentral lists this ribosomal RNA (509 nucleotides) under uncultured Chlamydiales bacterium. RNAcentral's name for it is "bacterial SSU rRNA". It matches the Rfam family "Bacterial small subunit ribosomal RNA", at positions 546 to 1050 of the family's 1533-position model. Lineage: Bacteria; Pseudomonadati; Chlamydiota; Chlamydiia; Chlamydiales. The record is from RNAcentral.
GGAUUUUAUUGGGUGUAAAGGGCGCGUAGGCGGUUUUAGUAAGUUAGAUGUGAAAUCUCGGAGCUCAACUUCGAGCCUGCAAUUUAAAACUACUUUACUCGAGGGUAGACGGAAGAAAACGGAAUUCCACAUGUAGCGGUGAAAUGCGUAGAUAUGUGGAGGAACACCUGUGGCGAAAGCGGUUUUCUUAGUUUAUUCCUGACGCUGAGGCGCGAAAGCGAGGGGAGCAAACAGGCUUAGAUAUCCUGGUAGUCCUCGCCGUAAACGAUGCAUACUUGGUGUAGCUGGACUCAACCCUAGCUGUGCCGUAGCUAACGUGUUAAGUAUGCCACCUGAGGAGUACGCUCGCAAGAGUGAAACUCAAAAGAAUUGACGGGGGCCCGCACAAGCAGUGGAGCAUGUGGUUUAAUUCGAUGCAACGCGAAGAACCUUACCCAGACUUGACAUGUAGAGGACCGCACCAGAGAUGGUGUUUCCCGCAAGGGCUUCUACACAGGUGCUGCAUGGCU